This 254-nucleotide ribosomal RNA is filed under the name uncultured bacterium. Its description in RNAcentral is "partial 16S ribosomal RNA". It matches the Rfam family "Bacterial small subunit ribosomal RNA", at positions 524 to 776 of the family's 1533-position model. The record is from RNAcentral.
UACGUAGGGGGCUAGCGUUGUCCGGAAUCAUUGGGCGUAAAGAGCGCGUAGGCGGCUGGAAUAGUCCGGUGUGAAAUCCACAGGCUUAACCUGUGAAUGCCGCUGGAAACUGUCUGGCUAGAGUCCGGAAGGGGCGAGUGGAAUUCCUGGUGUAGCGGUGAAAUGCGCAGAUAUCAGGAGGAACACCAAUGGCGAAGGCAGCUCGCUGGGACGGGUACUGACGCUGAGGCGCGAAAGCGUGGGGAGCGAACAGG